AAUGAGGUGGAAUUGGUGGAUUCUUUGGUUGCCAGAGAUUGCAUGCAGAGAAGCAAAAAGAAUUUCUUUUCUCUUGAAGAUUUCUCUUCUCUUUUAACUUGAUCAUCAUCAAAGCUCCUUGCCCCUUCUGCUGUGAUUUCUUGUUCCCAAAAAAUUUUUAAAUUUUUUAUAUUGUUGUUCUCCCUCCCUUCUUUUUUAUUGAAAUGAGCUCUCUUGAUUAUCCCAAUUUUAAGUAAGUUGUUUCUUGGGCACUUAUCAUGUAUUAUUGUUGGUGUUUCUUGCCAGUGGUGUUAUUAGUGUGGUCAUGUGCAUCACUAGCUCAUUUCCAUAUAGUGCCAUUCACUGUUCACUUGUUAUAUUGCUCUAGGUUUAGCCCU
RNAcentral lists this small RNA (377 nucleotides) under Histoplasma ohiense. RNAcentral's name for it is "hypothetical lncRNA". Lineage: Eukaryota; Fungi; Ascomycota; Eurotiomycetes; Onygenales; Ajellomycetaceae. The record is from RNAcentral.